GCCCUCCUGGCGGAAUUGGUAGACGCAACGGACUUAAAAUCCGUUGUCCUAACGGGCGUGCCGGUUCGAGUCCGGCGGAGGGCACCA
This 87-nucleotide transfer RNA is filed under the name Rhodospirillaceae bacterium. RNAcentral's name for it is "tRNA-Leu". It matches the Rfam family "tRNA". Rfam says of the family: Transfer RNA (tRNA) molecules are approximately 80 nucleotides in length. Their secondary structure includes four short double-helical elements and three loops (D, anti-codon, and T loops). Lineage: Bacteria; Pseudomonadati; Pseudomonadota; Alphaproteobacteria; Rhodospirillales; Rhodospirillaceae. The record is from RNAcentral.